RNAcentral lists this long non-coding RNA (277 nucleotides) under Capsella rubella. RNAcentral's name for it is "long non-coding RNA (CRUB_LNC001692)". The record is from RNAcentral. Lineage: Eukaryota; Viridiplantae; Streptophyta; Magnoliopsida; Brassicales; Brassicaceae.
AAAAUUGUCUUUUUGGCCCUUAUGGCAGGCGGGAGAAGACAUUAGAGAAAGUGACAAUGCUUACAAUUUUGGUUACUGUACAGGGCAUAGGAUAUAAUUUUCUCUUUUCUCUAGCGCUAAUCCUAUUUUUCUAAUUUUUUCAAACAAUGUGCUAUAUUCUUUAUUUUGAUAUCUCAAAUGAAUAUUCACCUAAUUCACCCAAAGAAAAUGUCAAUAGUAAAAAAAAAAAAAAAAAAUCUCAGAAAAUGUUGGCAUCGUCGAAGGAGAUGGGUUUUUC